UACGUAGGGGGCAAGCGUUGUCCGGAAUCAUUGGGCGUAAAGAGCGCGUAGGCGGCCCUGUAAGUCCGCCGUGAAAGUCAAGGGCUCAACCCUUGGAUGCCGGUGGAUACUGCAGGGCUAGAGUCCGGAAGAGGCGAGUGGAAUUCCUGGUGUAGCGGUGAAAUGCGCAGAUAUCAGGAGGAACACCGAUGGCGAAGGCAGCUCGCUGGGACGGUACUGACGCUGAGGCGCGAAAGCGUGGGGAGCAAACAGG
RNAcentral lists this ribosomal RNA (253 nucleotides) under uncultured bacterium. RNAcentral's name for it is "partial 16S ribosomal RNA". It matches the Rfam family "Bacterial small subunit ribosomal RNA", at positions 524 to 776 of the family's 1533-position model. The record is from RNAcentral.